This 90-nucleotide transfer RNA is filed under the name Actinomycetes bacterium. RNAcentral's name for it is "tRNA-Ser". It matches the Rfam family "tRNA". From Rfam's summary of the family: Transfer RNA (tRNA) molecules are approximately 80 nucleotides in length. Their secondary structure includes four short double-helical elements and three loops (D, anti-codon, and T loops). Lineage: Bacteria; Bacillati; Actinomycetota; Actinomycetes. RNAcentral also lists the same sequence under 1 other name. The record is from RNAcentral.
GGAACGAUGGCAGAGCGGACGAAUGCACCUGUCUUGAAAACAGGAGUGGGUUUACGCCUACCGGGGGUUCGAAUCCCUCUCGUUCCGCCA